RNAcentral lists this ribosomal RNA (911 nucleotides) under uncultured bacterium. RNAcentral's name for it is "bacterial SSU rRNA". It matches the Rfam family "Bacterial small subunit ribosomal RNA", at positions 99 to 997 of the family's 1533-position model. The record is from RNAcentral.
CGAACGGGUGAGUAACGCGUGGGUAACCUGCCUUAUAGCGGGGGAUAACUAUUGGAAACGAUAGCUAAUACCGCAUAACAAUAGAGAUUGCAUAAUCUUUAUUUGAAAGUGCCAACUGGUACACUGUGAGAUGGACCCGCGUUGUAUUAGCUAGUUGGUAGUGUAAUGGACUACCAAGGCGAUGAUACAUAGCCGACCUGAGAGGGUGAUCGGCCACAUUGGGACUGAGACACGGCCCAAACUCCUACGGGAGGCAGCAGUAGGGAAUCUUCGGCAAUGGACGAAAGUCUGACCGAGCAACGCCGCGUGAGUGAAGAAGGUUUUCGGAUCGUAAAACUCUGUUGUUAGAGAAGAAUGUUGAUUAGAGUGGAAAAUUAAUCAAGUGACGGUAUCUAACCAGAAAGGGACGGCUAACUACGUGCCAGCAGCCGCGGUAAUACGUAGGUCCCGAGCGUUGUCCGGAUUUAUUGGGCGUAAAGCGAGCGCAGGUGGUUUAAUAAGUCUGAUGUAAAAGGCAGUGGCUCAACCAUUGUGUGCAUUGGAAACUGUUAGACUUGAGUGCAGUAGAGGAGAGUGGAAUUCCAUGUGUAGCGGUGAAAUGCGUAGAUAUAUGGAGGAACACCGGUGGCGAAAGCGGCUCUCUGGACUGUCACUGACACUGAGGCUCGAAAGCGUGGGUAGCAAACAGGAUUAGAUACCCUGGUAGUCCACGCCGUAAACGAUGAGUGCUAGUUGUUUGGGGCUAUCCAGCCCUAAGUGACGCAGCAAACGCAUUAAGCACUCCGCCUGGGGAGUACGACCGCAAGGUUGAAACUCAAAGGAAUUGACGGGGGCCCGCACAAGCGGUGGAGCAUGUGGUUUAAUUCGAAGCAACGCGAAGAACCUUACCAGGUCUUGACAUACUCGUGCUA